This 250-nucleotide non-coding RNA is filed under the name Clostridium taeniosporum. Its description in RNAcentral is "T-box sequence". It matches the Rfam family "T-box leader". Rfam says of the family: Uncharged tRNA acts as the effector for transcription antitermination of genes in the T-box leader family. Lineage: Bacteria; Bacillati; Bacillota; Clostridia; Eubacteriales; Clostridiaceae. The record is from RNAcentral.
UUAAAAAUUGUGAUAAGGAAGAGUAUAUUUAGUAAGCUUUUCAGAGAGUUGGAUAUGCGGUGGGAGUCCAGUAAGUAAACUUUAUAGAAGCAGCCUUUGAAUUUCACAUUGAAAAAUAAGAAUUAAUAUUCUUAAUUAGAUGAUGACGUGUUCCUUACGUUAUAGAGGUUGAAGUGUUUAUAACACUUCUAUGGAGUGAGUAGUUAUACUUAUUAGGGUGGUACCGCGUAGUUUAUCCUUCGUCCCUUGU